This is a long non-coding RNA of Odocoileus virginianus texanus, 1912 nucleotides long. RefSeq lists it as uncharacterized. Lineage: Eukaryota; Metazoa; Chordata; Mammalia; Artiodactyla; Cervidae. The record is from RefSeq and is a predicted model, not a curated record.
UUGGAGGCCCAGGGAGGAAGGCCCUGCCCCAGGAGCCCCAGCUUCCAUGAAGCAGAGGGCAAGCUCCCGGCGCCCAGCAGGUGGAUUCUUCACCACUGGACCACUGGGGAAGCCCUGCAAGCAGUUUUGCAAGUGGUACUCGGGUGGAGGCUGAAGCAAGGUUGAACUCCUACACCCCAAACGGUUGAAGCCUUUCUGUUUUCCAUGAGAAUGGAUAGCAAAGGAGGUGACGUGAUUUCAGCCACACAUACGAGACACUCCAGUUGCCUCAGCCUGGCCCAGAUGAGACCUCUUCUGAGAGGAGAGGGGAUUUUCCUGAUCCAGGGACCCAACCUGAGUUUCCUGCAUUGCAGAUGGAUUUCUUACAACUGAGUCACUAGAGAAACCUUGGUUACAGAGACUCCCUGAGCACCUACUCUGCACAGAUACUCUUCUAGAUACUGAGGAUAUAGACAGAACAGGACUGAUCAAAGUGGAGCCUGGGAGGAGUGUGCCAGGCCUGUGAGUGAGCAGCCACUUUGUGGCCUUGAGUUCUGUGGGCCCUGUUUGGUCCCCUCUCUCACAUCUACCCAUGCCAGGCAAAGGAGCAGAAUAUAAUCUGGACUCCAGAGUCAGAAUCCAGUCCUGGCUGUGCCUCUUACUCACUGAGUAACAACUUGGCUCAACUCCUAAAUCCUCAGUGUUCUCAUCUGCAAAGUGGGUGUACCAUUAAGAGGGCCAAGGAAGCAACACCUGCCAAGGAUUCAACACUGAAACAGAAGCUUCUUAUGACACAGCAAAUGGCCUUCGUCCACCCACUGCCAUCAUCUGCCACCAUCUCCCACCUUGCUGGGAUGGAAUCUUGCCCUUCCUCCUGACUUCCUGGGCAGGAUGCGGCUUUGCUGACAGUAGCCAAGUCGCCUUCUGGACCCCGGAGGAUGCCGGAGACCUUUCCUGUGAGCCAUUUGCCCCCUGAUGCCGGGGUCACAGAGGUCUUCAAACCUCUGAUCAGAGAAAGAUGAGGAGGAGGGUGACAGAGGCCAUAUUUCAGGGGCCUGUCCCAGCUGUUAGCAGGGAUUCCUUCUCCAUCAAGGACAGAUGGGACCAGCCCUCCAGAGUCGGGAUGGAUUGGGCACCUGGGUGGAAGCUGACACCAAGGGUGAGAAAUUCAUGUGACCCUGUCAUCGCCCAUCAGGAGACUGCCACACUCUUCUUCCUGCAGCCAGGAAAUGAAGUGACAGGUCACUAUGAGGGGCAACUGGUGACAGCCCCCCUCCAUAACAUUUAUUUAGAACUGGCAGCCCUGUCUCCUUCCAAAAGGGGCUAAGGGGCUGCUCUGACAUUUGCAGGAGGACUACUGGCUAACCAGGCCUUUCUGCAUUCAUGCCAUCAUCAAAUUCCCACAAGAACUUCCACUUCAGUGAUGAGGAAACUGAAACUCAGAGAAAUAAAGAGACUUGCUGAUGUUACCCAGCUAGUCCAAGGCAGAGAAGCCUAAGGAAUCCAGUUCCUCUGACUGUUAAUUUUUGCAGAUAUGACAGGAUGACAACAAACUGAAAUCAUAAAUCUAUCAAAGGACAGAGAGAGCAAUGUUCUUAACUUCCAGGAGAACCUUCUGAGAAGAGGAUGUACAUAAUGCAUUUAUAAUGCUGAAAAAUGAGGUCAAUAGUUUCUGAAGGGAUAUAUAAGAAGCCAUGAAUAGCACAGACCUUUGGGAGGAGAAACUGGUAUAGGGGAGGGAUAAUGAGAGAAUUUUGCAUCUCAUUCUUUUUUUUUUUUUUUUAAUUUUGCAUCUCAUUCUAUGUCUUCCUGUAGCACUGGAAUGAUUUUCCAUGAGCAUUUAAUAAGCAGAAGUAAGGGGUCAUCAACUAGUAGGAGUAUGGAUCAUUUUUCAUUGUCUUCUUGAUUUUUUUCUGAGAUAGGAAAAGAAAGA